UUCGCCCUUAGAGUUUGAUCCUGGCUCAGAACGAACGCUGGCGGCAUGCCUAACACAUGCAAGUCGAACGAAGGCUUCGGCCUUAGUGGCGCACGGGUGCGUAACGCGUGGGAAUCUGCCCUUGGGUUCGGAAUAACAGCGGGAAACUGCUGCUAAUACCGGAUGAAGACGAAAGUCCAAAGAUUUAUCGCCUGAGGAUGAGCCCGCGUUGGAUUAGGUAGUUGGUGGGGUAAAGGCCUACCAAGCCGACGAUCCAUAGCUGGUCUGAGAGGAUGAUCAGCCACACUGGGACUGAGACACGGCCCAGACUCCUACGGGAGGCAGCAGAAGGG
Molecule: ribosomal RNA, 332 nt
Filed under: uncultured Sphingomonadaceae bacterium
Lineage: Bacteria; Pseudomonadati; Pseudomonadota; Alphaproteobacteria; Sphingomonadales; Sphingomonadaceae
Description: bacterial SSU rRNA
Rfam family: Bacterial small subunit ribosomal RNA
Source: RNAcentral